This 1492-nucleotide ribosomal RNA is filed under the name Klebsiella sp. ok1_1_9_S18. RNAcentral's name for it is "bacterial SSU rRNA". It matches the Rfam family "Bacterial small subunit ribosomal RNA". The record is from RNAcentral. Lineage: Bacteria; Pseudomonadati; Pseudomonadota; Gammaproteobacteria; Enterobacterales; Enterobacteriaceae.
CGCUGGCGGCAGGCCUAACACAUGCAAGUCGAGCGGUAGCACAGAGAGCUUGCUCUCGGGUGACGAGCGGCGGACGGGUGAGUAAUGUCUGGGAAACUGCCUGAUGGAGGGGGAUAACUACUGGAAACGGUAGCUAAUACCGCAUAAUGUCGCAAGACCAAAGUGGGGGACCUUCGGGCCUCAUGCCAUCAGAUGUGCCCAGAUGGGAUUAGCUAGUAGGUGGGGUAACGGCUCACCUAGGCGACGAUCCCUAGCUGGUCUGAGAGGAUGACCAGCCACACUGGAACUGAGACACGGUCCAGACUCCUACGGGAGGCAGCAGUGGGGAAUAUUGCACAAUGGGCGCAAGCCUGAUGCAGCCAUGCCGCGUGUGUGAAGAAGGCCUUCGGGUUGUAAAGCACUUUCAGCGGGGAGGAAGGCGGUAAGGUUAAUAACCUCAUCGAUUGACGUUACCCGCAGAAGAAGCACCGGCUAACUCCGUGCCAGCAGCCGCGGUAAUACGGAGGGUGCAAGCGUUAAUCGGAAUUACUGGGCGUAAAGCGCACGCAGGCGGUCUGUCAAGUCGGAUGUGAAAUCCCCGGGCUCAACCUGGGAACUGCAUUCGAAACUGGCAGGCUAGAGUCUUGUAGAGGGGGGUAGAAUUCCAGGUGUAGCGGUGAAAUGCGUAGAGAUCUGGAGGAAUACCGGUGGCGAAGGCGGCCCCCUGGACAAAGACUGACGCUCAGGUGCGAAAGCGUGGGGAGCAAACAGGAUUAGAUACCCUGGUAGUCCACGCCGUAAACGAUGUCGAUUUGGAGGUUGUGCCCUUGAGGCGUGGCUUCCGGAGCUAACGCGUUAAAUCGACCGCCUGGGGAGUACGGCCGCAAGGUUAAAACUCAAAUGAAUUGACGGGGGCCCGCACAAGCGGUGGAGCAUGUGGUUUAAUUCGAUGCAACGCGAAGAACCUUACCUGGUCUUGACAUCCACAGAACUUUCCAGAGAUGGAUUGGUGCCUUCGGGAACUGUGAGACAGGUGCUGCAUGGCUGUCGUCAGCUCGUGUUGUGAAAUGUUGGGUUAAGUCCCGCAACGAGCGCAACCCUUAUCCUUUGUUGCCAGCGGUCCGGCCGGGAACUCAAAGGAGACUGCCAGUGAUAAACUGGAGGAAGGUGGGGAUGACGUCAAGUCAUCAUGGCCCUUACGACCAGGGCUACACACGUGCUACAAUGGCAUAUACAAAGAGAAGCGACCUCGCGAGAGCAAGCGGACCUCAUAAAGUAUGUCGUAGUCCGGAUUGGAGUCUGCAACUCGACUCCAUGAAGUCGGAAUCGCUAGUAAUCGUAGAUCAGAAUGCUACGGUGAAUACGUUCCCGGGCCUUGUACACACCGCCCGUCACACCAUGGGAGUGGGUUGCAAAAGAAGUAGGUAGCUUAACCUUCGGGAGGGCGCUUACCACUUUGUGAUUCAUGACUGGGGUGAAGUCGUAACAAGGUAACCGUAGGGGAACCUGCGGC